Molecule: signal recognition particle RNA, 299 nt
Filed under: Cebus imitator (Panamanian white-faced capuchin)
Lineage: Eukaryota; Metazoa; Chordata; Mammalia; Primates; Cebidae
Description: Metazoan signal recognition particle RNA (ENSCCAG00000012663.1)
Rfam family: Metazoan signal recognition particle RNA
About the family: The signal recognition particle (SRP) is a universally conserved ribonucleoprotein. It is involved in the co-translational targeting of proteins to membranes. The eukaryotic SRP consists of a 300-nucleotide 7S RNA and six proteins: SRPs 72, 68, 54, 19, 14, and 9.
Source: RNAcentral
GCCGGGCAUGGUGGUGCGUGCCUGUCGUCCCAGCUACUCGGGAGGCUGAGGCUGGAGGAUCUCUUGAGCCCAGGAGUUCUGGGCUGUAGUGUGCUAUGCCAAUCGGGUGUCUGCACUAAGUUCGACAUCAAUAUGGUGACCUCCUGGGAGCAGGGGACCACCAGGUUGCCUAAGGAGGGAUGAACCGUCCCAGGUCGGAAGUGGAGCAGGUCAAAACUCCCGUGCUGAUCAGUAGUGGGAUCGCGCCUGUGAAUAGCCACUGCACUCCAGCCUGGGCAACAUAGCGAGACCCCGUCUCU